GCCGUCGAUAGCUCAGUUGGCAGAGCGGUGGACUGUAGAUCCAUACGGUCCAAAGCUGGGGUUCAAGACUCCAGAAACCGAGGCG
Non-coding RNA from Trichonephila inaurata madagascariensis, 85 nucleotides. NCBI's taxonomy places the organism in Eukaryota, Metazoa, Arthropoda, Arachnida, Araneae, Nephilidae. The record is from the annotation of a GenBank genome assembly.